Lolium perenne is the source of this 4349-nucleotide long non-coding RNA. RefSeq lists it as uncharacterized. NCBI's taxonomy places the organism in Eukaryota, Viridiplantae, Streptophyta, Magnoliopsida, Poales, Poaceae. The record is from RefSeq and is a predicted model, not a curated record.
UGCUUGUGAAGAGUUCUCGGUUAGCUUUGCGUACUAUUUGCUCUCAUUGUGAGCACCCACUUCUCUUACAGCAAACCGAUCUUGAAGUCCAAUCCUUUUAUGAAGUGCAGAUUCUUCAUGUGGCUCGCUACCCAUAAACAUCGCCUCACAACAGAUAACUUAUAGCGCAGAGGGUUUGCCCCUUUUACGGGGUAUGUUAGACCUGCUCUCAGCCACCCAUCGCCAUAGGCUGCUUGCAGGUAGCCAGCGAGUGAAAGGAGAUGCCACCAGGGCCGUGCACGUGUUAUCCUAUGGCUGAGGUAGAUGUUCAUGUUAAGGGCUUUGGAGUUUUCCAGCUUUCACUUUAAAAAAACGUUGACCAACGGGGGAAUGAUCCCUCCCUUGGCUAUACGUUGUUAGGUAGGAUGAGACUUUCUCGGUUUAUUCGCCCCUGCUGCGAAAUUACCGCGCAUGAGGAUUCGAACCCGGGUGGGCUGGCUGCGCACUCGCUUGCCUUGCCACUGAGCUAGAGCUCAGUUCUCAGCUUUCACUUUUGAACCCUAGCGGCAUUGUUCAAAAAAAAAAACCACGGCAAUUUUAUUUUUAGACUAUGAAUUAAAAAAUUCAUUCACUUGUAGCUCAAACCGUGAACAAUUUAGCAUCAACGCGGGCAGGGAAAAACAUUAAUCACAACGCAGUCUGCUCAUCCUCGACAGAUCGAAUAUCUAAGCUGCACUCUGGAAUGACAUUGUUGCUAGGGAUGCAUAUGGACGGCGGAGCGCACUGGUGCAUCUAGACAGUGACAUUCGAGUCCCGGGUGAAGGUGCCAUUCCUGAUGUCUCUAAAUCCUAGCAAUGUCCUAAAUCCCCUCGUACGUACACCAUGGAUAACCUAUCACAAGUAGUAGUAUCCUCUUGUAUAGUCGCAUAACAUGGGAGUGAUGCUCUGCGGUUGGCUUAUAUCGUCUUCUCCUGCUAGAGUGGUGCAUGAAACUUCAAUCUUGUGCCCACUUUUUAAUUAUGUGCAUUUGUUAUCGUACUAUGUGUGGUUUUAAUUACGAUAGUAAUUUAUGGUUCACUUCUCAUGGAAAUGCCAGGCCUUUAUGUUGAGCUAAUUUAGAUCUUCUAUCAUUUUGAAACUUUUGGGCCAUUUUAGGUGGAAAAUAUUUGUCCGUGUAUUAUGAUAUAUACAUAAUCAAUGGCCAAAUGUUUUAGUAUUUGUUGCGACAUGGUUCAUUUUUCAAUGGUCUCCCACAGACUUUAAAUGCACCAACAAUUUUAUUUUAAAAAACUCAUGUAUCUAAACACCUUUUAGUGUAUAGAUGUUAGAAAUAUAAGAAUUUUUUAUACUGAUCUAGGGCUUGCCUUUCGUCGACAACACAUGCAUUUGCAUUAUUGUGUGAGCUGUCUGUCAGCUUGGUGGGUUGCUAUGAUCCUAACCUAUUGUAGAUUAGAUCACCCAAGUGAUUUUUAUCACCAUGGAGCUAUUAUUUUUUACUGCCACUUGGUUUUGCUUGUUGUCAUUUUUGUUCUUGUAGGACUGGAAAAAGAUAAGAAAUGAAGAAUUCUACCUAGGUUUAGUUCAGGGUUUUCUUUUUUAUUUCUUAGUUUAAUUCUUGUAAUGUGAUGAAUUUUGUGAAGACAAUGUAGUGUUGUUUAUAAUUAAUAAAAUUUAUUUUCUCUAUUCUUGUAUUAUUAUUUGUUGUAUUUGGUUGACAUGUAAUUUAGAAAUUUAUAAUUUGGAAUCCAAAUUUUCUUUUAUUUGAAAUUCAAAUUUGAGUUGAAUUCAAAUUGUUUCCCUCAAAACACAUAACUUCAAUAAAGGUCAUGUCGAAAUACAUCACAAUCCAUUAAUGACUAAACCCUAGUCAUCAGUUGAAAGGAAUUUUGAUCACUUCAAGGUUUAGUUUUUGGGGCAAAAAAAUUCACACAAUUUCAAAUGAAUGAAUGCAUAUGCGCAUAAUUCUAGUUAUAUCCCCCGUUUAGCCCUAAGUGUUGGGAUGUUACAACCAUCACACAAAAAGAAGCGAGAGGAUUUCCUAGAAUGUUUGGGAACAUCGAUUGCAUGCAUUGGGUAUGGAAGAUUUGCCCGUUUGCUUGGCAAGGAGUAUACAAAGGUCACACAGAAGAUUGCAUCCAACAGGUUCACCUCACAAGAUUGAGGAUUUGAGUCAGAGACAUGGGAUCGGGAUGCUUACCCGCACGGUGUUGCAUUGGCGCUGCAAGGGGUGCGCGGGGAGUGGGGGAAGCGAGCGGAGGUAGACGAGAAGAGGGCCGAAGCGGACGAUGGAGACGGGGAGAGGAGGCGCAGAGGGCGCAUGCAGUGGUUGGCCGGAGUGGGGAGGAAGCCAGCGGCGGUAGCUGGCGCGUGAGACGGGACCGCAGGGGAGGCGAGGGAAGCCUUGGGGAGGGGAGUUCAGUCCGCGCCUUUCCUCCCUCCUUAGCCACCCAUCACCAUAGGUUUGCAGGUAGCGACCGAGUGAGGAAGAUGCCACGAGGGCCGUGGACGUGUUAUCUUAUGGCUACGGCCUACGGUAGGUUCAUGAAGUCUUCCAUUUGUAGUCUAGCUAGCGGCAAUUUUAUUUUAAAUAUUUGUAAAAAUCCACACGGUAGAAAUGUACUACUCUCUCCGAUGCAAAUUAGAAUUAGGUAAAUGUUGCCUAAAAAUAUGCCUUGGUUUUUAAAUCAGUGACAAAUAAUUUGAGAGAGUACCUCUGUUUCAAAAUAAACUUGUCAUAACUUUAUCUAGAUACUGUGCUGAGACAGUUAAUUUUUUAUAGAACGGAGCCCAAAUGGUGACGGAUGGUAUGGACUCUUCCUCUAUUUAUGCAUCACUGAUCCGGAAAGGAAAACAUACUAAUCACAAUACAGUAUGUAUGGUCUCAUCUUUAACGGGUCAGAUUCUAAAGCUACACAUAGAGGACGUACACCUUAGGGAUGCAUAUGGGCACGGAGCUUACUACUGCAUCUAAACUGUAGCAUUGUAGUUGCUUGGAAAUAUAUUGUUCCUGCUGCCUCUAAAUCCUAGCAUGCCUUAAACAUCUCCGUACGUAUACAUAUGGACAAGGGCUGCUCCGUCAGCAGGGGCGCUAGGUUUGCCCAUAGAUACAGGUAACCGUAGAUAUUAUCAAACAUAAAUAGUAGUGAUCCUCUCAUGUGGUCGGCAUAACAUGGAUUCAUAUUCUUCCGGUGGCUUUAUAUUGUCUCCUCUCUCGAGAGUGGUACAUAACUACUAUACUAAACCUUAACCACUUCGAUUUUUCUCAUAAUUUUGGAUUAUUUUUUGGAUUAACGUGCAGCUGACACGUACAUGGUUUUCUGGUUGAUUUUCCUGUGUAGGUAACUGAUGUCCUCUUGCACUUUUUUUUGUUCCUUUCCUUUGGUGUGAGCUGCAGUUUCUUUGGGCCUGUGUAGACAUAACAUUUUUGGUUGAUGGUGGUGGAUGGUGGGCUCUGGCGCCGCUUUGACCUUCUGUCUCUCCACGUGCCUUUUUUAAUAAUAAUUCUGGAAGUCCCCAACCAGCUCACGUCUUGCAGAUCUUUUCUUUUCCUCUCUCCACACCUCAACACAAAGGCUGCGAGACGGGCGAGCUCCCGCAAGACACAGCCGCCGACCUCGGGUCUGGCGACGAUGAUGAGGAGGUGCUCCGCCCCUGCCGCCCACCUCCGUCUCCAUCUCCUCCCCUUCGCCUCAUGUGACCACCACCACUGCUGCAAACCCUAGCCAUAAUCCCUAUGUCUCCGAAUCCCACUCCUUUGCUGGAUUUCUGAGACGAGGAUGAGUUCAAGGGGAUCCAUGUCUCCGAGCUCCAAAAUCCGUCGCGUCCUCCACCACGUCAGAUUCCUCUGACGCGGACGCGGCACAGGCAGCGCCGGCCUUGCCAAGGAUCUCGGCCGAGCUCCUCUGCGCGUUCUCAGUUGAGAUCGUCUGCGUCAGCUUCCCUGCGAUAAGAGAGGAGGUGGCCUAGCAGUGGCGGAUUCAGGUUGAGCACGCUUUGGUUUGGCGAAUGAUGACGAUGAUAAUGACCAAAUCGACAAGCAGCAAUGGCUGGACGAGAUCCAGAGAACGACGACCAAGCGGCCUGAUGCAGCAGCGGCGGCACCUGCUCCGUUCGUGCACAACGCCAUGAGGUCUCAGAUCACCGGCGAGAUCAUUGUGGCAGCGGCUAGAUGGCCUACUCACUAGCCACACCAGGCGAAGCCUCGGUGAUUUCUGUCGUGAAGAUGGAGCCGAAGUGGCCCUCAAGCCACCCAUCUUCAAGAAACUAUGGAGAGAAAUUGGUUAGGAUGAACUUGAACAGGGCAAUGUGCUAUUGCAACUGGAGGAGGAUUGCCUCAAUGUUUACAGGAAGAAAGGAAAAGGCAAGCCGAC